This 439-nucleotide ribosomal RNA is filed under the name uncultured bacterium. Its description in RNAcentral is "bacterial SSU rRNA". It matches the Rfam family "Bacterial small subunit ribosomal RNA", at positions 958 to 1377 of the family's 1533-position model. The record is from RNAcentral.
AACGCGAAGAACCUUACCUAGACUUGACAUCCCUUGCAUAACCCAGAGAUGGGUGAAGUCCUUCGGGACAAGGUGACAGGUGGUGCAUGGUUGUCGUCAGCUCGUGUCGUGAGAUGUUGGGUUAAGUCCCGCAACGAGCGCAACCCUUAUCAUUAGUUGCUACCAUUAAGUUGAGCACUCUAGUGAGACUGCCCGGGUUAACCGGGAGGAAGGUGGGGAUGACGUCAAAUCAUCAUGCCCCUUAUGUCUAGGGCUACACACGUGCUACAAUGGUGAGUACAAAGAGAUGCAAGACCGCAAGGUGGAGCCAAAACUCAAAAACUCAUCCCAGUUCGGAUUGUAGGCUGCAACUCGCCUACAUGAAGCCGGAGUUGCUAGUAAUCGCGAAUCAGCAUGUCGCGGUGAAUACGUUCCCGGCGUCGUUACGACACCGACGUGC